GAUGAACGCCGGCGGCGUGCCUAAUACAUGCAAGUCGAGCGAAUGGAUUAAGAGCUUGCUCUUAUGAAGUUAGCGGCGGACGGGUGAGUAACACGUGGGUAACCUGCCCAUAAGACUGGGAUAACUCCGGGAAACCGGGGCUAAUACCGGAUAACAUUUUGAACCGCAUGGUUCGAAAUUGAAAGGCGGCUUCGGCUGUCACUUAUGGAUGGACCCGCGUCGCAUUAGCUAGUUGGUGAGGUAACGGCUCACCAAGGCAACGAUGCGUAGCCGACCUGAGAGGGUGAUCGGCCACAAUGGGACUGAGACACGGCCCAGAAUCCUACGGGAGGCAGCAGUAGGGAAUCUUCCGCAAUGGACGAAAGUCUGACGGAGCAACGUCGCGUGAGUGAUGAAGGCUUUCGGGUCGUAAAACUCUGUUGUUAGGGAAGAACAAGUGCUAGUUGAAUAAGCUGGCACCUUGACGGUACCUAACCAGAAAGCCACGGCUAACUACGUGCCAGCAGCCGCGGUAA
This 515-nucleotide ribosomal RNA is filed under the name uncultured bacterium. Its description in RNAcentral is "partial 16S ribosomal RNA". It matches the Rfam family "Bacterial small subunit ribosomal RNA", at positions 28 to 523 of the family's 1533-position model. The record is from RNAcentral.